This 291-nucleotide ribosomal RNA is filed under the name uncultured bacterium. RNAcentral describes it as "partial 16S ribosomal RNA". It matches the Rfam family "Bacterial small subunit ribosomal RNA", at positions 505 to 796 of the family's 1533-position model. The record is from RNAcentral.
GUGCAGCAGCCACGGUAAUACGGAGGAUCCAAGCGUUAUCCGGAUUCAUUGGGUUUAAAGGGUCCGCAGGCGGGAUACUAAGUCAGUGGUGAAAGCCUCCAGCUCAACUGGGGAAUUGCCAUUGAUACUGGUAUUCUUGAGUAUAGUUGAAGUGGGCGGAAUGAGUCAUGUAGCGGUGAAAUGCAUAGAUAUGACUCAGAACACCGAUUGCGAAGGCAGCUCACUAAACUAUUACUGACGCUCAGGGACGAAAGCGUGGGGAGCAAACAGGAUUAGAAACCCCAGUAGUCC